UCUGCCCGCUGGCGGCGUGCCUAAUACAUGCAAGUCGAGCGAACAGACGAGGAGCUUGCUCCUCUGACGUUAGCGGCGGACGGGUGAGUAACACGUGGAUAACCUACCUAUAAGACUGGGAUAACUUCGGGAAACCGGAGCUAAUACCGGAUAAUAUAUUGAACCGCAUGGUUCAAUAGUGAAAGACGGUUUUGCUGUCACUUAUAGAUGGAUCCGCGCCGCAUUAGCUAGUUGGUAAGGUAACGGCUUACCAAGGCAACGAUGCGUAGCCGACCUGAGAGGGUGAUCGGCCACACUGGAACUGAGACACGGUCCAGACUCCUACGGGAGGCAGCAGUAGGGAAUCUUCCGCAAUGGGCGAAAGCCUGACGGAGCAACGCCGCGUGAGUGAUGAAGGUCUUCGGAUCGUAAAACUCUGUUAUUAGGGAAGAACAAAUGUGUAAGUAACUAUGCACGUCUUGACGGUACCUAAUCAGAAAGCCACGGCUAACUACGUG
Molecule: ribosomal RNA, 497 nt
Filed under: uncultured bacterium
Lineage: Bacteria
Description: partial 16S ribosomal RNA
Rfam family: Bacterial small subunit ribosomal RNA
Source: RNAcentral